CAACAUUUCAGUCCCCUUUGGGACUUUCAUCAGGAUCAAGCCUGAUCCUGAUGAAAGUCCCAAAGGGGACUGAAACGUU
Non-coding RNA from Pelobates cultripes (western spadefoot toad), 79 nucleotides. The record is from the annotation of a GenBank genome assembly. NCBI's taxonomy places the organism in Eukaryota, Metazoa, Chordata, Amphibia, Anura, Pelobatidae.